This is a long non-coding RNA of Heterocephalus glaber (naked mole-rat), 1743 nucleotides long. NCBI's taxonomy places the organism in Eukaryota, Metazoa, Chordata, Mammalia, Rodentia, Bathyergidae. The record is from Ensembl.
GCGCUCCCGGCCGGCCUGGGCUUCCGGUGUGACCACGGCGGUGUCCCCAGCAUCCUGGCCUUGCCACCCCGAGCAGAGCGGGGAGUCACUGUCACUGAGGCUGCCUUACCGAAAGCCCGUUAGGGACUGGACUCCAGCCGGAAGGGAUAACAGGGGAUGCAAGUCCGCUGAGCCUCUGGCCCACCCAUGGCCUGGCGUCGCGCGGGGCCGCCCACACCAGCCCGCUCCUCUGGUUUUUACUGGGCUUUUUCUUCCUAUGUUGUGUGUUGAACCCAAGGUCUGGCGCUGAGCUAUGUCCCCAGCCCGUUUUGGUUUUUGAGACAGGGUUUUGCUAAACUCCCCAGGCUGGCCUGGAGCGUGCAGUCCACCUGCCUCGGGUCGCAAGCUGAUUCUUGACUCCCCGUUUGCUGGGCGUGCGCGGCCCAUGCCCCUCAGCGAGGCCUGUGGAUUUUCCUGACUUCUCCCCCCCGCCUGGCGCGGCCGGCUGGGGACCCCUGACCCACGGACGGCUCUGGUGGCCACAGGGAGCCCAAGGAGGGGACGCUGUGCGGUGGCGAAACCCAGGUGAGGGCACUGAGCCGCAGGGCAGAACCGGCCUGCUGGGCCCCUCGGGUGCGCAGGACAAGCGAUACUUCAGGAGGAUCGCGGCGGCGAACCUGUGAGAGCCGUGCAGAGGCUGAGGCGGCCAGGGACGAAGUCACCGGCACCUGCAGCAGGAACGCGAAGGGCCAGACGGAAGCGGAGAGCGUUGAGCGCCUCCCUCGCACAAACUCGCAGCGGAGCCGCCGCGCAGCCCGAGCAGCGUCGCGUCAGGCCUCAUGAUCUCCUUGGUAGACACUUGUGUGCGCCAAAGCCCGGAGCAAGCCAGACUUUCCGAUUAAUGUGUGAGAUUGUGUCCUGUUUGAUUAAAACCAUAAAUAGACAUUCUCAGAUUUUGCUAUUUUAAAAGUUUAGAUUCGGCGUGGAGUUUGAAAACCUGGCAGGGUUUUCAGUCGUUUGAACGAUGCGGACCCAGCCCUGGCGAGGUUCACGUUUGUGUGCCACGCCGCCCUCUGCUGGCGCGCGGGGUGUGCUGCGGGGCGCGGACAGGCGGGCGGCAGCCUUGAGCCACUCACUCCUGGCACAGGGCUGCAGAUGAAUCAAUAUCCAGAUCUCAAGGGCUGCAGAGGAGGAGAAAGGAGUGGAAAGGCAGAAAGGUUCCGAACUUUAAACUUUAUAAAAGUGGCCUGAAGUGGACAGGACUCCUCCAUGUCGAUGUCCUCAGCCAUGGACUGAAGCCUCUGAAACCGUGAGCCAAGAUAAGUCUUUUCUCCUGUUUUUUUUUUUGGUACUGGGGAUCGAACUACGGACCUUGGGCUUUCGAGGCAGGCGGUGACACCACUGAGCUAAAUCCCCAGCCCAGUCUUUUCUCCUUUAAAUCAAUUUUCUCAGGUAUUUUCUCACCUCAAGGGAAAGCUAACACAUCCCUGUCUGUCCCCAGGAGGCCCUGCACUUGUCUGCUAACCACUGCAAGGUUUCUAGAGGAGUGUAAGUAAUUAUGUGCAAAAUGCGGGUGCCUUCCUGCUUUCUCACUUUCAGUCCAAAGUUUCAAAUGUCUUUAUCAUUCAGUGUCUUUUGUUCCAACUGUUGCCAAUGAUUUUAUUUUUACUGUGACUUUUAAAAAUUGCUGUAAUUAAAAUGUCUAACAAUUAAAAUCAACAUUUCAACAUCUCUUUCCAAGUGUUGAGGGAACUGAAAAAUGAU